This 83-nucleotide transfer RNA is filed under the name Felis catus (domestic cat). It matches the Rfam family "tRNA". Rfam says of the family: Transfer RNA (tRNA) molecules are approximately 80 nucleotides in length. Their secondary structure includes four short double-helical elements and three loops (D, anti-codon, and T loops). Further hydrogen bonds mediate the characteristic L-shaped molecular structure. tRNAs have two regions of fundamental functional importance: the anti-codon, which is responsible for specific mRNA codon recognition, and the 3' end, to which the tRNAs corresponding amino acid is attached (by aminoacyl-tRNA synthetases). tRNAs cope with the degeneracy of the genetic code in two manners: having more than one tRNA (with a specific anti-codon) for a particular amino acid; and 'wobble' base-pairing, i.e. permitting non-standard base-pairing at the 3rd anti-codon position. The record is from Rfam by way of RNAcentral. Lineage: Eukaryota; Metazoa; Chordata; Mammalia; Carnivora; Felidae.
GCCUGGGUGGCUCAGUCAGUUGAGCGUCUGACUUCAGCUCAGGUCAUGAUCACAGUCCGUGAGUUCGAGCCCCGCGUCGGGCU